This 336-nucleotide unclassified non-coding RNA is filed under the name soil metagenome. RNAcentral describes it as "partial contains 5.8S ribosomal RNA, internal transcribed spacer 2, and large subunit ribosomal RNA". The stretch from base 1 to 120 matches the Rfam family "5.8S ribosomal RNA", at positions 35 to 154 of the family's 154-position model. The record is from RNAcentral.
GAUGAAGAACGCAGCGAAAUGCGAUAAGUAGUGUGAAUUGCAGAAUUCAGUGAAUCAUCGAAUCUUUGAACGCACAUUGCGCCCCUUGGUAUUCCAUAGGGCAUGCCUGUUCGAGCGUCAUUUGUACCUUCAAGCUUUGCUUGGUGUUGGGUGUUUGUCUCGCCUUUGCGUGUAGACUCGCCUUAAAAUAAUUGGCAGCCGGCGUAUUGAUUUCGGAGCGCAGUACAUCUCGCGCUUUGCACUCAUAACGACAGCGUCCAAAAGUACAUUUUACACUCUUGACCUCGGAUCAGGUAGGGAUACCCGCUGAACUUAAGCAUAUCAAUAAGCGGAGGA